AAACUUUGCCAUAAGGAGAGAUACCAUGAUCACAAAGGUGGUUUUCCCAGGGCGAGGCUUAUCCAUUGCCUUCUGGAUGUGCUGACACCCUGUGAUUUCCCCAAAUGUGGGAAACUCGACUGCAUAAUUUGUGGCAGUGGGGGACUGCGUUCACACUCUCCCCUG
This 165-nucleotide small nuclear RNA is filed under the name Rhinolophus ferrumequinum (greater horseshoe bat). Its description in RNAcentral is "U1 spliceosomal RNA (ENSRFEG00010009237.1)". It matches the Rfam family "U1 spliceosomal RNA". Rfam says of the family: U1 is a small nuclear RNA (snRNA) component of the spliceosome (involved in pre-mRNA splicing). Its 5' end forms complementary base pairs with the 5' splice junction, thus defining the 5' donor site of an intron. There are significant differences in sequence and secondary structure between metazoan and yeast U1 snRNAs, the latter being much longer (568 nucleotides as compared to 164 nucleotides in human). Lineage: Eukaryota; Metazoa; Chordata; Mammalia; Chiroptera; Rhinolophidae. The record is from Rfam by way of RNAcentral.